UGGACCUUGGACACUACAGAAUUGUGG
Molecule: non-coding RNA, 27 nt
Filed under: Rattus norvegicus (Norway rat)
Lineage: Eukaryota; Metazoa; Chordata; Mammalia; Rodentia; Muridae
Source: RNAcentral